Molecule: non-coding RNA, 2243 nt
Organism: Lactuca sativa (garden lettuce)
Lineage: Eukaryota; Viridiplantae; Streptophyta; Magnoliopsida; Asterales; Asteraceae
Source: RefSeq, a predicted model, not a curated record
UUGAAACCUCGUUUAGUAUCUACAAACCUAUCUUCUCCAUCUUUCUCUCUCUAAACAACCCUAGAGAGAGAAGGAGGUGGAUCAUGAUCUACGUAUUUCGUCAACAUAGGUCAUGAUCAAUUCGUUUCUAGUCAUUUCAUCUCUUUCUCUGUCAACCCACAACCGAUCUAACCGUCCUCAACAACCUCUCUCUUCGUUUCCUAAAUCAUUCCAAAAAUGGCAUUAUCGAAAAGAUCAUUCAAGAAUUUCGUGGUAGAAGAGCUCGGUGAAUUCCCUCAUUUCCUGCUAUGGGCUAUUCUCGAAUGGAUACUAAUCGCAUCUCUUUACAUCGAUGGGCUCCUUGCGUUUCUCUCGAGCGUAUUCGCCAAGAUUUUCGAUCUGGAACCACCAUGCGUGCUCUGCACUCGUGUCGACCAUGCACUCGUGUGUAAGGACCCGAAUACUUAUUACAACGACUCCAUAUGCGAGUGCCACAAAAAGGACAUAUCUUCGUUAGCAUAUUGCCAUAUUCACAGAAAACUUGCGGAUAUCAAGAACAUGUGUGAAGGUUGUUCUUUUGCGUUUGCAACUGAGAAAGAACCUGAUAUACAGUCGCUUUUGGGGAGGAUGCAAAAAGAGAAGGAUGGGUUUACUGAAGACGAUAAGAAGGUUUUGAAGCCUGUGAAUAAGUGUUCGUGUUGUGGUGAACCUUUGAAAAUGAGAGCUGCUUCUAAAGAUUACACUAGAAGCCUUUCAAACCUUCGUGCUUCAACAGCAUGGAAAACCGAGGAUUCACGGUAUACAGAGCUCAGAUUUUUAUCAGAUACCGAGCCAGAUAUGCCAGAGUACCACUUCGGUUUAAGCACAUACGCUAAAUAUGACGAACUGCAUGAAGACUGUUGUAGAACUCCAAAUUUUUUAAAAAGCAACAAGUUAUUUGGGAUCCCACUAACAGAUUCAGGUUCAGUUAGCCCGAGACGUGCUAACAGGAUUUCAAGAAAAGCAUCAAUGGAAAAAUACGAUUUGGCAUCAGACAAUGAUGAAGCUUCAGGAGAUGGUGAUUCGAGUCUUCAACAGAUAAAGAAACAAGCACGUAUAGAUCAAAAGACUCUUAUGAAGUUGUCUAUGGAGCUUGAUGAAGAAAGAAGCGCUGCUGCUAUUGCAGCUAAUAAUGCUAUGGCAAUGAUCACACGGUUACAGGCUGAGAAGGCGUCUGUGCAAAUGGAGGCGUUGCAGUAUCAAAGAAUGAUGGAAGAGCAUGUUGAGUAUGAUAAGGAAGCUAUUCAAAUACUUAAAGAUUUGUUAGCUAAGAGAGAUGAACAUUUAAAGGUUAUGGAAUCAGAACUUCAGAGUUACAGAGAGAAAUAUGGAGAAAUUAGGAAAGUAGGUAGCGAUCAAUGUGAAGCUGAUGCCGAUGAAUAUUACCAGGAAUGGAGAUCUCAAUCUUUGUCAUCUUUCAGUGAGAAAUCCGAAUCCCAAUCCCGGAGCCCUUUAAAAGAUGAUCAUGAUCAUGAGUUCGAGAGCCCUUUGGUGAAGGAUGAUGAUGAUGAUUUUGAGUCAUGGAGCCCUCUGGGAACCGAUGGCAAAGAUGGUGAUCAGAGCCACUCCGGAAGGGGCACCUCAUCGUUAGAUUUUGAAACUGAAAAAUAUCAGCUUUACGAGAUGUUAAAGAAUCUUGAAAAUCAUAUCCAGACGUGUUCAAUGGAGGAUGAAUGGGAGGAUGAUGAAGAUAAAGAUAUAGUUAAAGAAAAUAGGGCAACCCUAAAUAGAGAGAUAACCGUAAUCAGGGAGAGAUUGAGAGCCUUAGAAGCAGAUAGCGGAUUCUUGAAGCAUACUGCAAUGACACUUCAAAAGGGUGAAAAAGGAGCUGAACUUCUAACAGAGAUAGCUCAACAUCUACGGAAGCUACGUGAUCACUCUGAUCAAUUAAACAGAAUAGAUGCUUAAAUUUUUCUAUACUUGUUUCUAGGUACGACAUAUGAUAUAUUUUGGAAGGAAAAGCAACCAAAGGAGCCAGACACAAGUUGUGGGGAACUCUCAAAUCUCAACCUCGUGUUAUUAGGAUCCUGGAUGAAUGGCCUUGCUCAAGAAUGGGAGGCAGCAGUUGGUGGUCAAAGAAGCAUAAUGACCACUGUCGGAAGCAGAUGGUAGAAGAAGCAUGAUGAUUGCCUUGUUUGGUUGUACCAUGUGGGAGGUUGUGGUCUUUCUUGUUCUUCUUUUCCUGAUUUGAACAAGUUAUGCUUCAUCGGGAGUUUUUGCAUAGC